Non-coding RNA from Loxodonta africana (African savanna elephant), 135 nucleotides. NCBI's taxonomy places the organism in Eukaryota, Metazoa, Chordata, Mammalia, Proboscidea, Elephantidae. The record is from Rfam.
UUCUCAGGCUUAUGGAGAGAGUGAUGGUGUAGGUUGCCAACCGUAGUUACUCCAUAGAGCGCAGAGUGGCUGCGGGGAAUAUACUCAGGCAUCUCCCAAGAAGUCUGCCCAGGGUGAAACAAAUACCUUUGAGGU